AGCAGGCUCCGUGCUGUCAACGCGGAGUCCGAUGCGGGGCCCGAACUCACCAACUGUGAGAUCGUGAACUGAGUGGAAAUCAAGAGUUGGACGCUUGCCCACUGAGCCACCCAGGCGCCCGCCCUACUUCCUGCAUGUUUUGUAACAGCCAUCCUAACGGGCGUGAAGUGGUACCUCACUGUGGUUCUGUUUUGUGUUUUUCCCUGAUGGUUGUGAACCUGGAGCGUUUUUGUUUGUGCUUAUCGGCCACCCGUGCAUCUUCCUGGGAGAAGUGUGCGUUCAGGUCCUCUGCUCAUUUUUAGAUCUGGUUGUUUGCUUUUUCUGAUGUUUAACGUAAUUUUAAGUCAAAGAGCCUGUGGGAGUCCGUGGUUUUGUUAGAAAUUCUUUGGUCAGAGGGAGAAGAGAAUCUGGGUACCUUCUGCCCAACGAAAACGAAAAAUUUACAGCUGAGAUCAACUCCUAAGUUCAGCUGACCCCGAAUAGCAAGUUUAAACAAGACAGAAAUGUUUCCCAUAAAAGUCCAGACUGCAGCGCUGGGUCCCAUUAAGUCCUCAGGGUAAGUGGUUUCUCUGGAAGGACAGUUCUUUUGGAGACGUGGCUUUCACCUGUUGGCUUUCGUUGCUUCUGUGUGUGAGACACGACACCCAUGGUCUCCUGGCAGCGUGACACCGUAGACGAUCAGACUCACCCUUAUUUUGUGUACCGGGAAAAAUGGCGCUAACCUCUGACACUCACCCGGGCUGUGAGAUAAUGCUAAUUUCGGAGACGUUAAAAUGUGAAGGAGUUAGUAUCUUCAAAGUCUCAAGCCUAAGGCCUCCGGGCUGUCUAUGUGCUGACUCCUGGGUUCUGCGCACCCCCAGCUGUCUCAGUGGCUUCCUUGGGGCCGUUGGGAACAGUCGCCUGGGCUGGGAAGACAGCAGCCUUAACCUGAUCUUUGCUGCUGGUCAGCCUGUCAACAUUUCAGGGAGGUCGAGGAGGGCUUGGCCCCAGGAUCCUAUCCUGCCCUCGCCGCCUCUCCCAAACUGUCGGUGUGACUGCUCCAGUUUGGGGACGAGGCCUGUCUUCAUCCCUAAGGGGCCCCAAGAGUGAAGGUGACAGGCGGAGACCCCCGGACAGAGCUCCGUGUCUCCAUGGCCUGCUUCACUCAGCCUGCAGCCCCCACCCGCCACCCUCCUGCCCUCCCAGCUACCCACGAGCCGCUGCCAGUCCUUCAGGGUCCUUCCCUCCCCCUCCCUGGGGUUGCCCGGAUCUCUCCUUGUCCCGUACCUUCACCCCUCUAGCUCCUACCCAGUCUUCCACAUCUCAGCUGGCGAGCCCGUCGGAUGGACCCCACGGGUCACACGCCUCGCCUCCCUGCACCCGUCCAUCUCGGGCCUCGUGUGUUACUGAAUUCCUGAUCGUGAGAUUCCUUGCUGCGUGCCCCUCUCCCCUGCUAGAAUGUAACAGCUUCAUGAGAGCUGAGGUAGCUCUUUUUGUCUUCAUUGGGAUUUUUCCCCCUACUUUCUCAAGAGUGGUGGCUAACCUGUGUUCCGCAUUUGGCGUUUUCCUCGCGCCUGGUUUUCCACCCACAUCAUGAAGGUGAUGAGAAGGAUGCUCUAAUUUCAUGGAACCGAAGGAGCCCCGUGGUUGCCACAGACACUGGUCAUUCACUCACUCGUUCACCGCGUGUGCACCGAGCUCCUGCCGUGUGCCAUCACCGUGUCCGGGGCCCUGCAGUGAACCUGACAGCAGUGACAGCAGCGUCCUGCCCCCACGGGGCCCCCGUGCAGGAGCAGAGGCCGAAAGCAGCCAACGCCGUAAAGUGCGAAGCGGCCGUGGCGCCCAGCACCUCUCCUCCCUUCCGCUCCAGCCCUGCUGCGGCUUUUCUUCUGGGUCUUAAAGCUGCCGCUGCCCCCGGCCUCCGGGUCUGGAUCCACGCAGCUCCUUCUGCCCAGAACUCUCUUCCUACCGCCGAACUACGCAAGCCUCAGCUCCCGUGUCUGCUCGUCGGAGGCCUCCCCCGAUCCCACAGAACUGGCCAAGGGCCCCCCCGAGUCCGAGACCCGCCCCGGCUCGCCUGCCGUAGCCUCUUCCACCGAACAGUGAGAUGUUGGGGGGCGGGAACUGGGCCCAGACUCGUCCUCAGCUCUGUCCUAAAACAGCAUAUGGCAUGUGGUUGGUGUUCGGUAGGUAAAUGGUGGGUGAGUGAAUCAAUGAGCCCCUGGGACUUGGGAGACAGACCCACACAGCCCUGGGACCCGAAGGGUGACCCGGGGGUUGGCCCUGGCAGGUGAACUGUAACUGACUAGUUUUUAGUACGUUAUGUUGUCCUGUGUCUCGGGCAGAUUAAGGGGGGGGGGGGUCUGGCCUCCUGGGAGGGGACGUGGGGAGCGGCUGGGGACACUGUGGCAUCUCCAUCCUGGAGACUUCCUACACCUGUCUGCCUCCGUCCCCAGAAUGCAGAUGGGGAGUGUGUGGAAAAGCGAACUCUAGCUGGCCUCUCAAGGGACCCUUCCAACGUCCCAAAGAACAGAAUCUCCCCCAGCUGCCACCUGGGAGGGUGGCUGUCCCUGGAGGGGUGGAGUGGCCGCUCUGCUGCCGCUCUGUCCUCACGGAAGUGGCCCGCACGUGGCCCGGACAACAACAAAACGUUGGAUUUUCCGGAACUAUUUCCCCACGUGCUGUUUGAAUGUAGCGUUCUGAUGUUCUGAGGAUUUACAGCAUUUUGGUGCAAUGAAAAGUUUCUACUGGGCACCCCGAGUCAGAGAUCGGGGUUCAGACCCUUGCCGCGGUCUGGCGGCUUCCCGACCCAUGUCCUUGGGUGCGUCACCUACUCAUCCUGUGGAAAGGGUGACAGCACCAGUGGGCAGGUACAGAAGGCUGCACGUGGGCCGACCUGAGAACAGGGCCCUAACUGGUAAGACAGGUCAGCUGUCCCCAGCUCUUCACGUCCCCCACCCCGUCUCGUCAAGACCAGUGCCAUCUGGACGGGGCACAGUGCCCUGCCCUCUGAGUUCAGCUUCCUUGUGCGCACCUUCUCCAGGGGCGGGGGGGGGGGGGGAGCCAUUAAGUGUGGAGUCUACAGGGUUAAAGCCUUGCUGCUCUGGGGGCUGUUGCCCAGAGCAAAUGGGUGACAGAGCAGUCCGUCAUCGGGACUCUGCCCGCAGGGAGUAGGACAGGCGAAGUCAGCCACAGGCCGCAGGUGACCAGGGCCCUCCCCAGCCAUGUGAGGGGGGUCGGCCAGGCUGUGCAGGAAGUCAUGAGGGGAAGCCAGGGCUCCAUGGGACCAGGCUGUGGCCAGAGGGGGUGGCCUGAGGUUGGACCUCGCUGACUGGGUGGCGUUCAGGGACAUCCCCCUGUCGUGGCACCAGGCUGAGCCCUGACCACAGGGUACUCCUUUUCAGGUCCUCUUUGUCUGACUGGAGGCGGCAGGGUUUCUCUCUCCGUUUCCAGAAGCCGCCAAAACAGCCUCUGAAAGUCCCCAGAGUCCUCUCUGCCUUAUGGCAGGGCAGCAAGGGGCCCGGGUGCAGAAGGGACCAUUCUUGGCUACCCUGGACUGGGAACCCAUGGGAUCUCAGCUGGGAAAGAAGGUGAGGGAGGCUUGGAGAAUUUUCCAGAUCUCAGAUAUGGUGGGGGGGGGGGGGGGGGCGGGGAUCUUUCCUGCCCUCAGGGCUGGGGAAUCAAAACCCCAGCCCAGAGGGAGACCUCUCCUUUCUAAUCCCAACAAAUUCGGACAACCUCCCCAGCCCCCCUUGCCAAAGUCUGCUGGGAGUGGGAGGAACAGCACGAGAAACACCCUCCCGGGUUGGCGGGGUCAGUCCCAGCCAAGUGGGCAGAGCACUGAGCCUGGAGCCGUGGGCCUCUGAACCUCAGUUUCCUCAUCUGCGGAAUGGGGAUUUUAAUGCUGGCUACCUUAUGAGGGUGUUUCGAGGACUAAAUGAGAUAAUAAAUGCUUAGUGCAACAGCUAA
Molecule: long non-coding RNA, 3948 nt
Organism: Felis catus (domestic cat)
Lineage: Eukaryota; Metazoa; Chordata; Mammalia; Carnivora; Felidae
Exons: 2
Source: RefSeq, a predicted model, not a curated record